AGAAUGAACGUUGGCGGCGUGGAUUAGGCAUGCGAGUCGCGCGAGAAGGUAGCAAUACCGGAAAGCGGCGAAAGGGAGAGGAAUAGGUGGGAAUCUGCCCCUGGAUCGGGGAUAGCUACGGGAAACUGUAGGUAAUACCCGAUAACGUCGAAAGACCAAAGGUGUGAUUCCGUCUGGGGAUGAGCCCACCUCCUAUUAGCUAGUUGUUAGGGUAAUGGCCUAACAAGGCAUUGAUGGGUAGCUGGUGUGAGAGCACGACCAGCCUCACUGGCACUGAGACACUGGCCAGACACCUACGGGUGGCUGCAGUCGAGAAUCUUCGGCAAUGGACGAAAGUCUGACCGAGCGACGCCGCGUGCGGGAUGAAGGCCUUCGGGUUGUAAACCGCUGUCGUAGGGGAUCAAAUGUAGUUGGGUACUCCCUUCUACUUGAGAGAUCCUAGGAGGAAGGGGAGGCUAAGCUCGUGCCAGCAGCCGCGGUAAGACGAGCUCCCCAAACGUUAUUCGGUAUUACUGGGCUUAAAGAGUUCGUAGGCGGUCUUGUAGGUGAGGUGUGAAAGCCCUCGGCUUAACCGAGGAAUUGCGCUUCAAACCACAAGGCUUGAGGGAGGUAGGGGUAUGCGGAACAGAUGGUGGAGCGGUGAAAUGCGUUGAUAUCAUCUGGAACACCGGUGGCGAAAGCGGCAUACUGGACCUUUUCUGACGCUGAGGAACGAAAGCUAGGGUAGCGAACGGGAUUAGAUACCCCGGUAGUCCUAGCCGUAAACGAUGAGCACUAGUCUGUAGGGACCCUCAUAUCCUUUCGGACGUAGCGAAAGUGUUAAGUGCUC
RNAcentral lists this ribosomal RNA (829 nucleotides) under uncultured bacterium. Its description in RNAcentral is "bacterial SSU rRNA". It matches the Rfam family "Bacterial small subunit ribosomal RNA", at positions 26 to 869 of the family's 1533-position model. The record is from RNAcentral.